Canis lupus familiaris (dog) is the source of this 2135-nucleotide long non-coding RNA. RefSeq lists it as uncharacterized. Lineage: Eukaryota; Metazoa; Chordata; Mammalia; Carnivora; Canidae. The transcript is spliced from 2 exons. The record is from RefSeq and is a predicted model, not a curated record.
CCCGCCCCCACCGCGGCCCCAGACCUGGGCCUGGGCUUCUGCUGGCAGAGCCCAGCCCCUGCAGCCUUGAGGACAGUGGCCACACUGUCACACCCCUCACCUGCAACUCACAGGGUCGGAAUGGAGGCCAAAUCUUGAUCUUAGUGGCUUAGGGGAAGAAGCCAGAAGCCCGUGGUUAGGGAUACCGGGCCCUAUGAUGGAGCUGGAGGCCGGGAGCCCACUGCCCUCCUUGGUAUACCCUAUGGGCCUCAGUUUUCUUAUAUUGUUCUCUUUUAUAGAUGAGGAAACUGAGGUACACAGGCUCCCCCCAGCAGUGUCCCCACGCUCCACAGCCCCACAUCUGCCAAGAUGGUACUGCUGCCUUGCACCAAGCUACCCAAUGCUUGCUCUCUCCUCAGCCCUGUAGCUCUCAUCCCAUCUCCAGCAGGAAACUAGCAACAGAAGGAAGAAGACCAAAGGCCCCAGAACCAGGAUCCGGAGUCCUCCAGCUGAUUUAUCUCAAGAAUCCCUGGGCCACGUCUGAAGAAACAGGCCAGGCUUCCUUGCAUGUCCCCACACCCACCUGAGGAUGGCUUGAAGAGCAGGGACCUGAGCCUGGCGCCACCAGCUUCUCCAGGAGCCCCCAGAGCCUGGAGGGAAGACGUAGCUCCUGUGCCAGAGCAGCUGUGGGAGCAUCCUUUCAUCCCAGCCACAAGAAGGCCACAACCUCUUCAGAGGAUGGAAGAUACUUCUGGUCCUGUCAGGAGGCCCAGUUAUGGUCUUCUCAUCCAUGCAGAAGUGGGAACCGAGGAAGGUUGUGGGACACUGGUUGUCAGGGCUUUCUAAGAGCCAAAAUGAGGAGGUCUUGCAAGCCAGCCAGGGGGCCCCAACCAAGGCCCACACCAGGUGGGCAGCGAGUCCUGGACCGAGGCCCAGCCGCACAGGGCCUCGGAUUCCUCAGAGCAUGCCCGCACGCAUAGGGAAAGAAUCACCUGGACCUUGUUCAAGCAUUUGCCCUGGCCCUACCACCUCGGGCCUGAGGGACAGGAUUUGGGCAGUUUGGCCCAGGAGCCCACGUCUCUGAAGGCAGCUCAUGUCGACAUGGGUAUGUGCCUCCCUUUACAAGGCUGUCUGGCUCGGAGAAGGAAAACCAAUUAGGUCUCCCCACUUGUGGAGACUGGUGAGCCACUUUGAAGCCACCUCUGCCCCUCCCCACUCCAGAACACAAGGCCGGAAACAAGCCCCAUGGGGUUUGCCCAUCACAGGUAGAGGCAGCUAAGCACCACGGGGAGAGCAGGAACCUCUCAGGAAGGACUGGGGCCUGCCCACCGGCCCCAUCCUGGGGGUCCCGCCUGCUGGGGGCCCUGCUUACCAGCUGGAAGCCACCCUGCAACACCCCACAUUUGGGCCACCCGAAGGAAGGAUGCAGGUUGGGGUUUGCAUUAACCAUGUGGAAGCUAGGGUCUCCUAACAGACAUCUUGGGGACUGAGAGACACUUCUUUCCUGGUCUCAGUUUCCUCCCAGGUGGUGGGUCCCAGGGAAUAGCCAUCCAGCCCAGGGAAGCUUCAGCCAGCUGGAAUUCUUCAGGAAAUGUGAGACCAGCUCUCGGCCCUGACUCUAAUUGAUCUCACCUCACGAGGUGUGCGACAAGCUGCCCAAUCUGGUUUCCCCUGCAAGUCCACCAUCCCCUAGGACCAGCUGUCUCUCUAAACUUGGAAAUUUCAGACAUUAGAAAGGGCAUUAUGAAUUCACAAGGACAAGGAUUCCGUUUUAUUCUCCUGACUUCUCAACCUGUAACACCCAGCGUGGAGUGGGAUGUCUGCUAAGACAGGGGUCCUCAGAAACACAGUGUGCUGGCAGCCUACCAUGUGCUUGGGUCCCAGUCCUCCUCAUCACAGUGGACAGCAGUGAGGGACAGAAAGGCAAAGGGGCGACCUAAGGCCUGACAUGUCCUUCAGUGGAGUGAUGUGUCCUUCAGUGGUGUGCUUAGGAGGUAUUGUCUCAGGGGUGAGGCAGACUAGCCCUAGAGGCAGCUCUGGAUCUGUCCUAACACACUUUAAAAGCAAGACCCCAAAGGAUCUACCUGAUUCCAAGUAACUGUAUGCCAAAAUGAAAACCAACACUUUUUACAUGAAUAAAACAAUCUAGCACUCAA